Molecule: ribosomal RNA, 456 nt
Filed under: uncultured bacterium
Lineage: Bacteria
Description: partial 16S ribosomal RNA
Rfam family: Bacterial small subunit ribosomal RNA
Source: RNAcentral
UAGGGAAUCUUCCACAAUGGACGCAAGUCUGAUGGAGCAACGCCGCGUGAGUGAAGAAGGCUUUCGGGUCGUAAAACUCUGUUAUUGAAGAAGAACGUGUGUGACAGUAACUGGUCAUGCAGUGACGGUAUUCAAUCAGAAAGUCACGGCUAACUACGUGCCAGCAGCCGCGGUAAUACGUAGGUGGCAAGCGUUGUCCGGAUUUAUUGGGCGUAAAGCGAGUGCAGGCGGUCUUUUAAGUCUGAUGUGAAAGCCUUCGGCUUAACCGAAGAAGGGCAUCGGAAACUGGGAGACUUGAGUGCAGAAGAGGAGAGUGGAACUCCAUGUGUAGCGGUGAAAUGCGUAGAUAUAUGGAAGAGCACCAGUGGCGAAGGCGGCUCUCUGGUCUGUAACUGACGCUGAGGCUCGAAAGCGUGGGUAGCAAACAGGAUUAGAUACCCUGGUAGUCCACGCCGU